Herpailurus yagouaroundi (jaguarundi) is the source of this 1511-nucleotide long non-coding RNA. RefSeq lists it as uncharacterized. NCBI's taxonomy places the organism in Eukaryota, Metazoa, Chordata, Mammalia, Carnivora, Felidae. The record is from RefSeq and is a predicted model, not a curated record. The transcript has 2 exons.
UCCCGGCGGGAGCCUCGCCUCUUCCUGCCACUCCAGUACGGCUCCCGUCUCCGCCCUUGCCACCGCAUUGCUUCUACUGUCCUGCCCUCAGCUGUAUUUUAGGCGGACGUGGAAACAAAGACCCAUAGUUGGACUUUUAUUUUGGGUUCAGUGGCCCACAAGCACUGAGGAAUAGGCGUGGCAGUGGAAGCAGGCACGGGAGACGCAGAGCGCUUGGCGGAAGCUGUCCCGCCCCCUGGCUGAACGUUGGCUCCCACGCACUACAAUUCCCAGCAUGCCAUUCGAGCAAGGGCGGAGGCGGAACCGGAGUGUCGUCAUAGCAACUGAAUCAACUACCUCGCGGAGACUUCUCAAGGUAAAGUUUGCUAGGCGCCAUGAAAAACCGUGAUUCUGUUUAAUGACACCAUGCCAAGCCCCUAAAUGAGAUUCUAUUUCUGUUAAUAACUACUCUGUUCAGACCCUAUACAGGCGUUAUGUCCCAUCCUCACUACAAUUCCAUGAGGUAGAAAAAAAAAAAAAAGAGAAACGGGUAAGGGACUUAUCUGAGAAGACUUUGAAGGUGGCCUCUAUCUGAUCACUGUCUGGGAUAGUGCACCGUAUUAUUCAUUAAGCCUAGAACAGUUCAAAGUGAAUGACUGUUUUUUUUGCUCAAUUCGGUAUAGCAUGAAUGCCACUUUGGUGCCUACCAACCACAAUGGUGUUAUUUUGGAGUUUGCAGAUGGACCAAAGGAUGUCAGAAAGGGAGAAGGAUUUACCUGAGGUACCUGGCUAAGAGUUCACGAGAGGUGGAAGUGGAUGAAAGAGGACAGUGUGCCCUGUUUGUACAGCGUGAGAAAGAGGUUUCUGGGGUGGACAUCAGUUAUUGAGCCGAGACCCGGAAAGAAGAAUAAAAAGGCGGGGGAUUUAACUUUGCGUGAUCAUUUCCAUGAAUGGGAAAGGAGAAGUAGGAGGGAUACUGCCCUGUGUCCCUGUUAAUUCUCUCUCACUCGCUUAGAGCUAUGAUUGCCUGAGGGGGGUCUUGUGCCCCAGUUGUGGCAGUGGUGGACUCAUCGGAGGCCCCUGCUCGGGGCUGUGACCUCUCACGGGCUGAAGGCACAGACUUCAGUUCCCAACUGGCCGCCGUUAGAUGCUUGGCCUACCCUUUACCCUCCCUCAAAGAGAGUAGAGGCGGUGAGGGUAGAGGGCAAGAGCCCUGAAUGUCCUGUGUAGGGAACAAGCUUCUGAACCUCCUACUAACUAGUUCCCCAACCUUGGGCGCCUGUUGCCUAAGCUGUGAAAACGGAGAUGAUACCACCUGUUUGGCGAUGAAGGCACCUGGCAAAUACUUGUUCUGGUCCCGCUUAAUCUUCACGACGGUAUGAGGGAUCGUUCCCAUUUUCCAGAUGUGGAGAAGGAGGCUCAGAGAGGCUAACACGGUGGUGGAGAUGGGCACCCCUGUCGUGUAGCCCAGCCUCUGCUGUGCUGCCUGCGGUAGAAAAGGAGAUCACUGAAAUAAAAUGGUUUACCAUGUU